This 230-nucleotide small RNA is filed under the name Arabidopsis thaliana (thale cress). Its description in RNAcentral is "ATSL042340". Lineage: Eukaryota; Viridiplantae; Streptophyta; Magnoliopsida; Brassicales; Brassicaceae. The record is from RNAcentral.
AAAAAAAAUGAAUCAAACCGGAUUUAACAUAUAACAAAAAAUUUUGAAAUUUUAAAAACAAAUAUGUCAAAAAGAUUCUGUUAUUACUAAAAAGGUUAUUCUAGUCAUAAACAAAUCGGCCAGAACAUUGACAUGAGUAAAUCUGUUAUGCUUUGACACUGAAAAAGAAAACUGUUAUUACUAGGGGGGUUAUUGAAGGUAGGAUUUUAAUUGAAUAUGAAAGAAUUUAG